AUUGAACGCUGGCGGCAUGCUUUACACAUGCAAGUCGAACGGCAGCGCGGGGCAACCUGGCGGCGAGUGGCGCACGGGUGAGUAAUAUAUCGGAACGUACCCAAGAGUGGGGGAUAACGUAGCGAAAGUUACGCUAAUACCGCAUACGAUCUAAGGAUGAAAGUGGGGGAUCGCAAGACCUCAUGCUCCUGGAGCGGCCGAUAUCUGAUUAGCUAGUUGGUGAGGUAAAGGCUCACCAAGGCGACGAUCAGUAGCUGGUCUGAGAGGACGACCAGCCACACUGGAACUGAGACACGGUCCAGACUCCUACGGGAGGCAGCAGUGGGGAAUUUUGGACAAUGGGCGCAAGCCUGAUCCAGCAAUGCCGCGUGAGUGAAGAAGGCCUUCGGGUUGUAAAGCUCUUUUGUCAGGGAAGAAACGGUAGAGGCUAAUAUCCUUUGCUAAUGACGGUACCUGAAGAAUAAGCACCGGCUAACUACGUG
RNAcentral lists this ribosomal RNA (482 nucleotides) under uncultured bacterium. RNAcentral describes it as "partial 16S ribosomal RNA". It matches the Rfam family "Bacterial small subunit ribosomal RNA", at positions 30 to 507 of the family's 1533-position model. The record is from RNAcentral.